CCCAGUAAACGGCGGCCGUAACUAUAACGGUCCUAAGGUAGCGAAAUUCCUUGUCGGGCAAGUUCCGACCUGCACGAAUGGCAUAAUGAUGGCCACACUGUCUCCUCCUGAGACUCAGUGAAGUUGAAAUGUUUGUGAUGAUGCAAUCUCCCCGCGGCUAGACGGAAAGACCCCAUGAACCUUUACUGCAGCUUUGCAUUGGACUUUGAACCGAUCUGUGUAGGAUAGGUGGGAGGCAGUGAAGCUAGGACGCCAGUCUUAGCGGAGCCAACCUUGAAAUACCACCCUGAUUUGUUUGAGGUUCUAACCUAGGAGCGUAAUCCGCUUCGGGGACCGUGCAUGGUAGGCAGUUUGACUGGGGCGGUCUCCUCCUAAAGGGUAACGGAGGAGUGCGAAGGUACGCUAGGUACGGUCGGAAAUCGUGCUGAUAGUGCAAUGGCAAAAGCGUGCUUGACUGCGAGACCGACAAGUCGAGCAGAUACGAAAGUAGGUCAUAGUGAUCCGGUGGCUCUGCAUGGAAGGGCCAUCGCUCAACGGAUAAAAGGUACUCUGGGGAUAACAGGCUGAUACCGCCCAAGAGUUCAUAUCGACGGCGGUGUUUGGCACCUCGAUGUCGGCUCAUCUCAUCCUGGGGCUGUAGCCGGUCCCAAGGGUAUGGCUGUUCGCCAUUUAAAGAGGUACGUGAGCUGGGUUUAAAACGUCGUGAGACAGUUUUGUCCCUAUCUGCCGUGGGCGUUGGAAGAUUGACGGGGGCUGCUCCUAGUACGAGAGGACCGGAGUGGACUCACCUCUGGUGUACCGGUUGUCACGCCAGUGGCAUCGCCGGGUAGCUAUGUGGGGAAAGGAUAACCGCUGAAAGCAUCUAAGCGGGAAACCUGCCUGAAGAUAAGUCUUCCUGGAGGCUUUGACCUCCCUGAAGAGUCGUUCGAGACCAGGACGUUGAUAGGUUGGAUGUGCAAGCGCUGUGAGGCGUUGAGCUGACCAAUACUAAUUGCUCGUGAAGCUUGAUCCU
This 1012-nucleotide ribosomal RNA is filed under the name human metagenome. RNAcentral describes it as "bacterial LSU rRNA". It matches the Rfam family "Bacterial large subunit ribosomal RNA", at positions 1919 to 2925 of the family's 2925-position model. The record is from RNAcentral.